RNAcentral lists this ribosomal RNA (253 nucleotides) under uncultured bacterium. RNAcentral's name for it is "partial 16S ribosomal RNA". It matches the Rfam family "Bacterial small subunit ribosomal RNA", at positions 524 to 776 of the family's 1533-position model. The record is from RNAcentral.
UACAGAGGUCUCAACCGUUGUUCGGAUUCAUUGGGCGUAAAGGGUGCGUAGGCGGUCGGGUAAGUCGGAUGUGAAAUCUCAGGGCUCAACCCUGAAACUGCAUUCGAUACUGCCUGGCUAGGGUACUGGAGAGGAGACUGGAAUUUACGGUGUAGCAGUGAAAUGCGUAGAUAUUCGGAAGAACACCAGCGGCGAAGGCAGCGGAUUGGGCCAAUACUGACGCUCAGGCACGAAAGCAUGGGGAUCAAACAGG